This 433-nucleotide ribosomal RNA is filed under the name uncultured bacterium. RNAcentral's name for it is "partial 16S ribosomal RNA". It matches the Rfam family "Bacterial small subunit ribosomal RNA", at positions 29 to 507 of the family's 1533-position model. The record is from RNAcentral.
AACGAACGCUGGCGGCAUGCCUAACACAUGCAAGUCGAGCGCGCCCUUCGGGGUGAGCGGCGGACGGGUGAGUAACGCGUGGGAACGUGCCCUUCUCUGCGGAAUAGCCUCGGGAAACUGAGAGUAAUACCGCAUACGCCCUUUGGGGGAAAGAUUUAUCGGAGAAGGAUCGGCCCGCGUUGGAUUAGGUAGUUGGUGGGGUAAUGGCCCACCAAGCCGACGAUCCAUAGCUGGUUUGAGAGGAUGAUCAGCCACACUGGGACUGAGACACGGCCCAGACUCCUACGGGAGGCAGCAGUGGGGAAUCUUAGACAAUGGGGGCAACCCUGAUCUAGCCAUGCCGCGUGAGUGAUGAAGGCCUUAGGGUUGUAAAGCUCUUUCAGCUGGGAAGAUAAUGACGGUACCAGCAGAAGAAGCCCCGGCUAACUCCGUG